This 253-nucleotide unclassified non-coding RNA is filed under the name uncultured Alphaproteobacteria bacterium. RNAcentral's name for it is "contains 16S-23S intergenic spacer region". It matches the Rfam family "Bacterial small subunit ribosomal RNA", at positions 524 to 776 of the family's 1533-position model. Lineage: Bacteria; Pseudomonadati; Pseudomonadota; Alphaproteobacteria. The record is from RNAcentral.
UACGUAGGGGGCAAGCGUUGUUCGGAAUUACCGGGCGUAAAGCGCACGUAGGCGGAUUGAUCAGUUAGAGGUGAAAUCCAAGGGCUCAACCCUGGAACUGCCUUUAAUACUGUCAGUCCAGAGAUCGAGAGAGGUGAGUGGAAUUCCGAGUGUAGAGGUGAAAUUCGUAGAUAUUCGGAGGAACACCAGUGGCGAAGGCGGCUCACUGGCUCGAUACUGACGCUGAGGUGCGAAAGCGUGGGGAGCAAACAGG